GCGAUCUUAUGCAUUUAUGAAAGAACUGCUCAUUUUAAAAUCUUCCCGGUCUACUGACAUUUGUUAAGACAUCUGCUUUAAACAACAAUGCUCAUGAUAACUUUCAUUAACUCUACAACAGGUAAAUCCACUUCACCAGCUAAUUAUUCUUUGACAGCGAUGCCAUAGAAAUAUACAGAGCUGCCGCAAAAACGGAAGUUCAAAGACAAUAUUCUAAAGAUGGCGGCGCGCUUGUUUCUCUGGUAAAUAAGGUCUAUAGCCAUGUAGUUUUUCUUUACAAAGUGACCUCGCCAACUGCACUUUAAUAUCCUUCUCAUUAUUUUCCUAUAGCAGCUAAUGAAUCAGAAGUCACGCACAUUCACAGACAACACCUUACUUCGAAGUUGAAAAACAAGGUGCGUAGUGUUUUACAAAACGACAUUGCCAACUACUGGCCUGGCAUGCAUAAUACAGCGUUUUUAGUCGUUUUUGCAGAUCUGAGUGACAACGUUGUCGUCUGUACAAGAAAAACGUAAUUUUUCCAUUUUUAGUAAGUUACAUCGUUGUCAUGUAAAUGCACCCUUUAUAGUUCCGCUAUAUGAUGUCUUUAAAUAUAGCUACAACAUGAGUGUGAUAUUUAUUUCUGAAAUGUUAAAAAAGCAAUGUUAAAUGUAGCAGUUUACAAGUCAAGUCACCUUUAUUUACAAAAAAAAAAAAAAAAAUUCUCUGCCAAUGAAAAUAAAAGAAGCCAAAGCAUUUAAGCUUUGACUCUCACCAAGCAACACAGAUCAAAGGCCGGUUUGGAAUACAAUUUGACUGGAGCGGAGCGAAAGAGAUUUCCUUCCCCCUCAAAGCGCUCUCAAAUCACCCCAGUUCCACUCCGGGUUUUUAGGUUUCCCGCUCCCUGGCGAGAGAAACCAGCUCAAACAGAUCCUGGCGCGAGUGAAAACAAAUGCUCACUUUUAAAGGUCCACUCCCUCUCCCUGCUGCAGACUGACUCCACUCCGACCCUAGAUGUUGUUGCAACCUUUUUGUGUGAUGACUGCAUUUCCAUGCUUGACGACACUGAUUCAUGUGGCUCCUCUCUAUAUGACUCAACAGACAACGAGGCAUCUUGGCAACCCAAACUGUCUGGAGACACAGUAAUAACUCCUCCAUAGACCUUACACAAUGUAUCACUCCUCCUGAGCCCAUCUCUGUGGUUUGCUAGUGUCUCUCAAACCAUUCUAUUUUAGGGUGAAGUGGAUGUUUUCCCUCUGAUGUAGACCUCAGUGAAGAGGUAAGCAGUAGAACAAGCGGAAAGUUAUAUUAAACUAGCAUCCCGCUAAGAAUCACAUUCUCGCCUUAACCAUAUUACCAUUAAGGGACAUAUGAAAUGUUAAAGUCUUUUACUGUC
Molecule: long non-coding RNA, 1375 nt
Organism: Ctenopharyngodon idella (grass carp)
Lineage: Eukaryota; Metazoa; Chordata; Actinopteri; Cypriniformes; Xenocyprididae
Exons: 2
Source: RefSeq, a predicted model, not a curated record